GUGGAAGUCUCAUUCAUUUCACUAUAUCCAAUGGGUUGGUUGUCCCGAGUUGGGUUGACUGUUUGCUGGUAAACAGAAUUUUCAGGCCAUCACAGAUGAUUGGGUUCUAGAAGAGGACUUUGGCAAUGAACAAACUGAGAACUUCUCUACCAAUAUAGCUGACGUGUUUUGGGUUCUAGCAUGGUUGUUCUUUUUGUUGUAAAGGAUCAUAGUGUAAUCUUGGUUCUGAACCUUUGUUGAAUUAAUAAUACAAAAAUAGAUUUUGUAACCAUGUUCAUUGUGACCUCGGUCAAUGUAUAAAGAUUUUGGUUGUCGUGAUUUGCAAUUGGCAAUGCAGGAGGAGCACAGGUGGAAUUAAAAAAAUCUGAGGACUAUGCAAAAGUUUAGAUCACAAAAUGGUGGAGGCAUGAAUGUCAUAGUAGACCGGCAUAAUCAUUUAGCACGAGACGCAUUCAAGGUGAAAUGUUUUAUCAAAUUUCUCUUUGAUGUCUUUUUAGUCUUUCCAAUGAUUGUAUCACUAAUUGUUUAUAUUCCCUUUUGACAUCCUAAAUUGUUAAAGUGAAGUCAACCCGUCAGCUCUAUGUCCAUACACUUGGCCUCCUAUGUGAUUUCGUUUCUCUCCCAUUUAGACUGUUCUAGGGUUCCCACAGUGCAAUGGAGGGAAUGUAUAUACAAGAACUGAAAUUUUAGUUGAUUCCUUUGUUUUAUUCAUCCUCAUCUAUGGCUUCUCACCUUUAGACAUGUUAUUUUUAUUUGAAGUCUGCAAUUAUUAGAGCUUGAAGUAGAUUUAGACUUUUGCAGGAAGGUUACUAUCUUCAUGUUCCCAAAUAUUAGUAUAUUGGGCUACAUGCCUCUGAAGAUUGUCCCUAAUUGUAAAUUUUGCGGUGCAAAAAAGGUUUGAAUAUGAGUUACCUGGAUUUUCUUGCGGCAAGGGUUCAAUCAAGUUAGUUUCUGAUCUGGUAACUGCUGAACUACACAAUCUAUAUAUAGGCCGCACUGAAGAAUCUGAACAUUUUCGCACAUACAGGACAUAUAAUAAUCUGUUUGCAUUUACGUCGGUUGCUGUGAAUUACGAUAAAGAAUUGGCAAAAAGGAACCAUGGUAUUUAUACUUUUAGAGUUCAAGGUCAGAUGUAUCAUUUUACAAAUGACUUUCCUGUUUGGAUUGGCUUAUUUUAUGUGCUUUUAAGCCAAAAUAGUUUUUAAUUACUUUUGUAGUAUUUGGGUAAAAUCAAAAAAAUGCUUUUAGGCACUUAUUUUUAAGCCAAAAUGACAAAGAUAAGUCAAAAGUCUUCUAACGUAUGGCUUUUGGCUGAUAGGUUAAAAGCCAUAAGUCAAUCCAAACGGGCUCUUACUCCCUCCUGAUCAAAUAGCAAGAAGCCUACAGCUAUACUUACGAUUAUACGGCUACAAAAUUAUUUACGUAACAAAAAUAGUAACAACUGCUCCACAACUAUAUUGUAUCCCUUCCUGUGCACCAAAUUACAGCUUAAUGACUAACUAUUUUGUUUAAACAGAUCGGAGAACAAAAGCUGAGCGCGACAAUGCUCACCCAGAUGGUGUCGCAUGUAUAGCUGCAUUUUGCUAAGCCACACUAAUCAUUUUACCAGCAAUGCUUCAUGAUAGAAGCUUUGGCGCUUGAUAAAAGCUUCACAUAUUCGCUCUACUCACCAAAAUGCCCCAAAUUUUUGUGUAGAUUACUGUAAAGUGUGUGCCUAUGUUUGUAGAGACAAGUGCUGCACAUUUUGGAUAUGGAAAAGUACUAUUGUUGCACUUAA
Long non-coding RNA from Lycium ferocissimum, 1777 nucleotides. RefSeq lists it as uncharacterized. The record is from RefSeq and is a predicted model, not a curated record. Lineage: Eukaryota; Viridiplantae; Streptophyta; Magnoliopsida; Solanales; Solanaceae. The transcript is spliced from 2 exons.